AAAGCAUUAAGAGCAAUUCAGACAUGGGGGUUAAAUUGUUUUGAAAGUCAUGAUCUAUUUGCCCUGACAUUUACAGAUGAAUCCGACAACCGGUUGUUGGAUUGCUGCCCCUGAAUUGGUAACUUUUAAUAACUGAUAAUUUUCAGUAAAUACAGUAAAUUUAAAAUACUGAUAACCGAUAACAGUAAUUUCAUUUAUCUUACAGAAGACAGA
RNAcentral lists this long non-coding RNA (213 nucleotides) under Mytilus galloprovincialis (Mediterranean mussel). The record is from RNAcentral. Lineage: Eukaryota; Metazoa; Mollusca; Bivalvia; Mytilida; Mytilidae.